CAGAAACUGUGAUUUGGAUAUACGCUCCUGGCAAAAUACCAGCUAUAGAAACAUCUUGGGUUGUCAUGACAAGAUGUUUUCUGGCAAAUAAUGGACACACAAUAGACCCCUUCUGUAUUACGCUUGGACCAACAAACAAUAUUGCAGGCUGUAUCAUGUCUUCCACCUUGCCUGCUUCUCUGCUCCACACUGACUGAGAGAGAAUAUUGAGCUGGCAUCCCUGGCACGGCCGAGUUCAAGACAAGAAGCUCUCGUUUCACUGAUGGCAAGGUCUGACCAUCCCACUUCCCUGAAAACGCAGCACAAGCUGAUAGGUGGCUUCCUGCAUACACCUUGUCUGGCAUGCUAAACCACAGAGAAAUUUGAAGUCCCC
This is a long non-coding RNA of Aquila chrysaetos chrysaetos, 373 nucleotides long. RefSeq lists it as uncharacterized. NCBI's taxonomy places the organism in Eukaryota, Metazoa, Chordata, Aves, Accipitriformes, Accipitridae. The record is from RefSeq and is a predicted model, not a curated record. The transcript is spliced from 3 exons.